This 330-nucleotide ribosomal RNA is filed under the name Triticum aestivum (bread wheat). RNAcentral's name for it is "partial small subunit ribosomal RNA". Lineage: Eukaryota; Viridiplantae; Streptophyta; Magnoliopsida; Poales; Poaceae. The record is from RNAcentral.
AUGGAGUUGGACGGUAGGCUAGCCGUGACGGCCCCUGAACUCCAUGGAGAUUCCAUGGAACUUUGGGUACUGGUGGACUAUGACGACGACCAGAGCUGGUCACGCCGUUUCCGGAUCGUCCUGCCGCCGCUGUUCUAUCCACAUUGGUGGACGGGCACCGGCGUCCCCAACGUCGUUUUCGUAGCAAGCUACACACAUAAUUUCAAGGCGCUGUACCAUCUUACCGAGAAGAGGAUCGUAAAUCAGAUAGAGUAUAUCAAUGGCACAUGGGGUUACUGCUACCUCUUCAAGGAUAGCCUUGUGCCGCACUCCUUCUUGAAUCCUUAUUAA